AGAACGAACGCUGGCGGCAGGCUUAACACAUGCAAGUCGAACGCGUGUAGCAAUACACGAGUGGCGCACGGGUGAGUAACGCGUGGAUAUCUGCCUUUUGGUUCGGAAUAACCCCGGGAAACUGGGGCUAAUACCGGAUGGUUCCUACGGGAUAAAGAUUUAUCGCCAAAAGAUGAGUCCGCGUACGAUUAGCUAGUUGGUGAGGUAAUGGCUCACCAAGGCGACGAUCGUUAGCUGGUCUGAGAGGACGAUCAGCCGCACUGGGACUGAGACACGGCCCAGACUCCUACGGGAGGCAGCAGUGGGGAAUAUUGGACAAUGGGGGCAACCCUGAUCCAGCCAUGCCGCGUGAGUGAUGAAGGCCUUCGGGUUGUAAAGCUCUUUUGGCGGGGACGAUGAUGGCGGUACCCGCAGAAUAAGCCCCGGCUAACUUCGUGCCAGCAGCCGC
RNAcentral lists this ribosomal RNA (448 nucleotides) under uncultured bacterium. Its description in RNAcentral is "SSU rRNA". It matches the Rfam family "Bacterial small subunit ribosomal RNA", at positions 26 to 518 of the family's 1533-position model. The record is from RNAcentral.